GCCAUCAUGGGGGUAAUUCUUAUUCCUGGGCUACCAUACGGUCUCAAAGGCAACGUAACCAAACUGAAAAAUGUAACAUGCUAUAUUUGACCCUGUAACGUCCCAAAACACCAUAAAAUCUGUACAUAGGGGGUACUGUUUUACACGUGAGACAUCGCUUAAAACAAAUAUGUGUAUUUUAUUGCAGUAAAAGCACACAGUAUUAUGACAUUCACAGUUAGAAUGUCACGUAGAACUACAUUUUUUUUUAAAAUAAAUCUUAUUUUUUUCCCAUUUUUUUAUAUUUUAUUCAUAUUAAAUUAUGUUUCAUACCUAAAUAUUUGAUGUUAAAUUAAAGCCCUGUUUCCCUGAAUAAAAUGAUGUAUAAUAAGUGUGGGUGCACAUAAUAUGAAAAAGGCGAACAGACAUAUAGCGCAAAUUAAAGUUUUUGUUUAUGUUUUGAUCACAACCUGUACAUUUAGCUCAGUCCAUAAAGGGGUUAAGGACGCAGCUUCAAAAACUGUACUUACCCUUAAAGACACAAGCCUUUUUUGCUGUUUGUGUUCAAACGCAAUUUGCAUCUCUGUCUUCUAUUGAGCCAACACAUAUUAUAUACUGUUUUUUAGAGGGCAAAAGUGACUUUAAUUUGAUGUGACAUAUACAUAGAAACAUUCUCUUUAAUUCUAAAACAAAUGCCAAAAAAUGGGGAAAAACUUUUUUUUAACGGUUUUGGCAAUAAUAGCGUGUGCAUAAUAUGUCCAGCUUAGGAAAUGCAAUUCAAAAUAAAUUCAUUUAUGGGUCUUGAUUUAUAUAGUACAUCAUAUGUAUAGGAUUCCAGCUUAUUUUGAA
Pelobates cultripes (western spadefoot toad) is the source of this 828-nucleotide non-coding RNA. The record is from the annotation of a GenBank genome assembly. Lineage: Eukaryota; Metazoa; Chordata; Amphibia; Anura; Pelobatidae.